This 254-nucleotide ribosomal RNA is filed under the name uncultured bacterium. Its description in RNAcentral is "partial 16S ribosomal RNA". It matches the Rfam family "Bacterial small subunit ribosomal RNA", at positions 524 to 776 of the family's 1533-position model. The record is from RNAcentral.
UACGUAGGGCGCAAGCGUUAUCCGGAAUUAUUGGGCGUAAAGAGCUCGUAGGCGGUCUGUCGCGUCGGUCGUGAAAACCUGCAGCUUAACUGUGGGCUUGCGGUCGAUACGGGCAUGACUGGAGUUCGGCAGGGGAGACUGGAAUUCCUGGUGUAGCGGUGAAAUGCGCAGAUAUCAGGAGGAACACCGGUGGCGAAGGCGGGUCUCUGGGCCGAUACUGACGCUGAGGAGCGAAAGCGUGGGGAGCGAACAGG